GUUAAGUUCUCUUGAUUUUAUAAAUUUAAGAUUUUAUGUUUUUGUGUUUUUAUUCAUAAAAAAGGGUGAAUUUUCCAGUUUUCAGACAAUGCUUUGAGUAGUUAUCAUGAAACUUAGACUGGUUUAUAUCUAUAAAGAUAACCUGCCUUUAGUGAUAUGACAUUAAAAGGUAAUUGAACUCCUUGAAAAAGCAACGGGCGUAUGAUGUGCUCAUGUCGCAGCUGUUUAUUAAGAAUCCAAUUAUAUAUAUUUGUAUUGGUGUCAGAACUGAUUUUCCUUAUCCAGGAAUUUUGUUACCUUUUGAAACCAUUGCAAAGGAUGUGUUUGUCUCACCUUUCUGAUAGAAUACGAUAGAAAUAUCAAAAAGCUGUAGUCCACUUCUGUUUUAGAAAGAAUUACUGAAAAUGAUUCAGUAUUAUUUUCUAGAACAAUUAAUUAACAGGAGCAUAAUAAAGAAUGACCUUGCAGUAAUCUAUGAUGUUGUUGUCUUUGUGUAUCAUUAUAAGCUAACAGGUUAAAUUAGUUUAAAUUAGGUAUAGAGGUAAGUUUUUUUACAAAAGAAAAGGUAUUAAUCAGCAGUAGUAACCAUUUUUUUUAAAGGAUUCUCUGUUAAAACAGCUUCAAAAUUCCAGUCUCACUAUGUUUUAUAGAACAAUUAACUUUGGAUUAAAUGUAUAAACAUCAUGUUACAAGGCUGGAAACCUGUAGAUAUACAAGGUCUAUUCAAAUGGAGAUUGUUAAUAAUUCGAGGUUUAUGCAAGUAAAGGAUUUCAUCAAAUAUUUUUGAAAUCUUGGUGGACAGUCGAUUAUUUAUCAACUUGUGCUUUAUAUACAUUGAAAGCGUUGACAACAAUUCCCUGGAAACGGUGGAGCUUCCUAUGAUGACAAACAAUAACGUCCUAUACUGAUCUAUACUUGUUUAACACAACUGAUAUGAGCAGAUGCUUACACGGAGGCUGUAGAAACGGACCAAAAGAACAAGGAUAGAUCUUGUGAAUAUGCUGUUUACCCAGUUAUGUUUAUUGUUGUCUAUUGUAUUUGAGAUUUAACUAGAACACUGAUUCACAAUAUUUGGUGAACAUUGGGUAAAAGCAUCGACGCCACUUCUAGGAUGAACACUUUUCAUUUAAAUGAAGAGGAGUGAAAAUUGGAAAAUAAUGCCAAAAUAAUAAAGUAUUUUGAUAGUACAUUCUGUUGAUUUUGGCACCAAAAGCGUCAAAGAUAACUUUAGUACUUUAGUUUUCGGUCUUAAACAAAUUACUUGUUGAUAGUUGAUACUAAAAUAAAAAGGUAGUCACGUGUUUAAAAGUUGAUGCUUAUUACAUUGCUUUAGGAUAUUUAUAAAAAAAAAAUCAAAAAUACAAAUUAUUGUGCCGUGAAAACGGGAAAUGAAGUCUAGCGGGACACGGGAAAUUACAAAAAAAUGAGAAUUGAUUACGAACAUAGUGUAAGCGGGAUACGGGAAUCUGACAAAACAGUAAGCGGGAUCCGGGAUCAGAACCCCCCCCCACCCCCACCCAAUGAGACCCUUCACAUUUCCAAUGAUACUUUUUUAACUACCCUGGCCUUUGCGAGAACUUUUAAUCAUUUGGCGUCCGUUCAUCGUCGUCGUUAGCACAAAUAUUCUGAAACUACUGGGCCGAAUUGAACCAACCUUUCAUGGACUAAUAACAUGUAAUAAGGUAAAACUGUAUCCGGGAUGUGAUUCAUCAUCAAACAGCAGCUGUUGCUAAAAAUAGAACAUAAUGG
Molecule: long non-coding RNA, 1749 nt
Filed under: Mytilus galloprovincialis (Mediterranean mussel)
Lineage: Eukaryota; Metazoa; Mollusca; Bivalvia; Mytilida; Mytilidae
Source: RNAcentral